Molecule: non-coding RNA, 116 nt
Organism: Chelonoidis abingdonii (Abingdon island giant tortoise)
Lineage: Eukaryota; Metazoa; Chordata; Testudines; Testudinidae
Source: RefSeq, a predicted model, not a curated record
AGAACAGAAUCAUAGAAUAUCAGGGUUGGAAGGGACCUCAGGAGGUCAUCUAGUCCACCCCAUGGUCAAAGCAGGUCCAAUUCCCAACUAAAUCAUCCAUCUGCCAGGGCUUUGGA